This 548-nucleotide ribosomal RNA is filed under the name uncultured Acidobacteriota bacterium. Its description in RNAcentral is "bacterial SSU rRNA". It matches the Rfam family "Bacterial small subunit ribosomal RNA", at positions 38 to 618 of the family's 1533-position model. Lineage: Bacteria; Pseudomonadati; Acidobacteriota. The record is from RNAcentral.
GGCGGCGCGCCUAACACAUGCAAGUCGAACGAGAAAGUGGAGCAAUCCAUGAGUAAAGUGGCGUACGGGUGAGUAACACGUGGAUAAUCUACCCUCUAGUGGGGAAUACCGCUGGGAAACCGGCGACAAUACCGCAUAAGCUCGAGAGAGGAAAGCAGCAAUGCGCUGGAGGAGGAGUCCGCGGUCGAUUAGUUAGUUGGCGGGGUAAAGGCCCACCAAGACUGUGAUCGAUAGCCGGCCUGAGAGGGCACACGGCCACACUGGCACUGAAACACGGGCCAGACUCCUACGGGAGGCAGCAGUGGGGAAUCUUGCACAAUGGGGGAAACCCUGAUGCAGCGACGCCGCGUGAGCGAUGAAGCCCCUCGGGGUGUAAAGCUCUUUCGGCAGGGAAGAUUAUGACGGUACCUGCAAAAGCAGCUGCGGCUAACUACGUGCCAGCAGCCGCGGUAAUACGUAGGCAGCAAGCGUUGUUCGGAGUUACUGGGCGUAAAGGGUGCGUAGGCGGCUUUUUAAGUUUGGUGUUAAAUCUCCCGGCUCAACUGGGA